UUUUAAAUUUCACUGUAUUUUGUUUUUGUUUCUAGGAAUUUCCUUGAGGCAGAUCUCAUGGUGGUAAACUUUCUGAUUUUAUCUGACCAGCACUGAGGCUUAGCCAGUGAUGCAUCCCGUCUCACAAUGCUGGUUUGAAUCCCAGCUGCUCGGCUUCUGGCUUUGUUCUCAGCUAAUGUCCAAGAGCAGGCAGCAGCAGAAUGGUUCGUGUACCUGAGGACAUGUGUGUGAGACCCGGAUGGAGUGCAAGGGUCUUGACUUCAACCUGUCCCAGUCUUUGCUAUUGCAGCAAAUAAUAAGGAGAGUGAACCAGAGGAGUUUCUGUCACAAGUAAACCCGUUUCAAGCACCUCCUAGUCUUUGACAAGAUUCCUGGCUUAUCUAACUUCUUGAAAGUUCCCAUUUUCCAUUAGGACUACUCUUCUUCUAGAAUUUUCUAUGGACCUUACCAUUUCAUCAAGAGUCCUUUCAAAGAUGCAUAAUGUCUUCUACGUUGCUAAGGUAUGUCUGUUUUUGACCAAUGCACAAGCUCAGGUAAGUCACCCUUAUACUUUGAUUGAUAUAAAUUGAGCUACUGAAAAGUAUUUUGAAAUGCAUAAAAUAGAUUAAACCCUUUAUUAGAGUACUAUUCCCUGGGUAAUAUCU
Molecule: long non-coding RNA, 644 nt
Organism: Ochotona curzoniae (black-lipped pika)
Lineage: Eukaryota; Metazoa; Chordata; Mammalia; Lagomorpha; Ochotonidae
Exons: 5
Source: RefSeq, a predicted model, not a curated record